AAGUCGUAACAAGGUUUCCGUAGGUGAACCUGCGGAAGGAUCAUUAACGAGUUUUGAAGUGGGUUUGAUGCUGGCCUUCCAAGGCAUGUGCUCGCCCUACUCUUCAUCCACUCACACCUGUGCACCUAUAAAUACUAAAAGAUUCAUCCCCUAGACUUCGUCAGGGGUGCGGUUGAGGGAGACCUUGACCGUUGGGUUGAAUCUUUGGUGUUUACUCUUCUUAUAAACUCUUGAAUGUAAUAGAAUGUCCUAUGGCCUACGGGCUUUUAAAUCGAAAUACAACUUUCAACAACGGAUCUCUUGGCUCUC
This 309-nucleotide unclassified non-coding RNA is filed under the name air metagenome. RNAcentral describes it as "partial contains small subunit ribosomal RNA, internal transcribed spacer 1, and 5.8S ribosomal RNA". The stretch from base 1 to 46 matches the Rfam family "Eukaryotic small subunit ribosomal RNA", at positions 1786 to 1831 of the family's 1831-position model. The record is from RNAcentral.